GGCCGCGGGAAUUCGAUUCAGGCCUAACACAUGCAAGUCGAACGGCAGCACGGAGCUUGCUCUGGUGGCGAGUGGCGAACGGGUGAGUAAUAUAUCGGAACGUACCCUAGGGUGGGGGAUAACGUAGCGAAAGUUACGCUAAUACCGCAUACGAUCUACGGAUGAAAGUGGGGGAUCGCAAGACCUCAUGCUCGUGGAGCGGCCGAUAUCUGAUUAGCUAGUUGGUAGGGUAAAAGCCUACCAAGGCAUCGAUCAGUAGCUGGUCUGAGAGGACGACCAGCCACACUGGAACUAAAACACGGUCCAGACUCCUACGGGAGGCAGCAGUGGGGAAUUUUGGACAAUGGGCGAAAGCCUGAUCCAGCAAGGCCGCGUGAGUGAAGAAGGCCUUCGGGUGUAAAUUAAAAGUGUCAGGGAAGAAACGGUGAGGGCUAAUAUCCCUUGCUAAUGACGGUAC
RNAcentral lists this ribosomal RNA (457 nucleotides) under uncultured bacterium. RNAcentral describes it as "bacterial SSU rRNA". It matches the Rfam family "Bacterial small subunit ribosomal RNA", at positions 39 to 478 of the family's 1533-position model. The record is from RNAcentral.